Long non-coding RNA from Helianthus annuus (common sunflower), 153 nucleotides. RefSeq lists it as uncharacterized. The record is from RefSeq and is a predicted model, not a curated record. The transcript is spliced from 3 exons. NCBI's taxonomy places the organism in Eukaryota, Viridiplantae, Streptophyta, Magnoliopsida, Asterales, Asteraceae.
GGAACUUCCGUUCAAGCAGAGAUUACUGAAAUAAAACCGUUAGAGCUUAAAUUGAAAUUCGGUUCCGGCUUACAUGGGCGGAUACAUAUCACCGAGGCGAGCGAUGGUAAUGUUUCGGAGAACCCGUUUAGUAACUAUAAGAUCGGGCAGGCA